This 373-nucleotide ribosomal RNA is filed under the name Staphylococcus aureus. RNAcentral describes it as "bacterial SSU rRNA". It matches the Rfam family "Bacterial small subunit ribosomal RNA", at positions 327 to 692 of the family's 1533-position model. Lineage: Bacteria; Bacillati; Bacillota; Bacilli; Caryophanales; Staphylococcaceae. The record is from RNAcentral.
CGGUCCAGACUCCUACGGGAGGCAGCAGUAGGGAAUCUUCCGCAAUGGGCGAAAGCCUGACGGAGCAACGCCGCGUGAGUGAUGAAGGUCUUCGGAUCGUAAAACUCUGUUAUUAGGGAAGAACAUAUGUGUAAGUAACUGUGCACAUCUUGACGGUACCUAAUCAGAAAGCCACGGCUAACUACGUGCCAGCAGCCGCGGUAAUACGUAGGUGGCAAGCGUUAUCCGGAAUUAUUGGGCGUAAAGCGCGCGUAGGCGGUUUUUUAAGUCUGAUGUGAAAGCCCACGGCUCAACCGUGGAGGGUCAUUGGAAACUGGAAAACUUGAGUGCAGAAGAGGAAAGUGGAAUUCCAUGUGUAGCGGUGAAAUGCGCA